This 119-nucleotide ribosomal RNA is filed under the name Pteropus alecto (black flying fox). The record is from RNAcentral. Lineage: Eukaryota; Metazoa; Chordata; Mammalia; Chiroptera; Pteropodidae.
GUCUAAGGCCAUGCUACCCUGAACAAACCCAAUCCCGUCUAAUUUUGGGAGCUAAACAGGGUUGGACCUGGUUAGUAUUUGGAUGGGAGACCACCUAGGAAGAUCAGGUGCUGUGGGUG